RNAcentral lists this ribosomal RNA (497 nucleotides) under uncultured bacterium. RNAcentral describes it as "partial 16S ribosomal RNA". It matches the Rfam family "Bacterial small subunit ribosomal RNA", at positions 28 to 507 of the family's 1533-position model. The record is from RNAcentral.
GAUGAACGCUGGCGGCGUGCCUAAUACAUGCAAGUCGAGCGAACGGACGAGAAGCUUGCUUCUCUGAUGUUAGCGGCGGACGGGUGAGUAACACGUGGAUAACCUACCUAUAAGACUGGGAUAACUUCGGGAAACCGGAGCUAAUACCGGAUGAUAUUUUGAACCGCAUGGUUCAAAAGUGAAAGACGGUCUUGCUGUCACUUAUAGAUGGAUCCGCGCUGCAUUAGCUAGUUGGUAAGGUAACGGCUUACCAAGGCAACGAUGCAUAGCCGACCUGAGAGGGUGAUCGGCCACACUGGAACUGAGACACGGUCCAGACUCCCACGGGAGGCAUCAGUAGGGAAUCUUCCGCAAUGGGCGAAAGCCUGACGGAGCAACGCCGCGUGAGUGAUGAAGGUCUUCGGAUCGUAAAACUCUGUUAUUAGGGAAGAACAUAUGUGUAAGUAACUGUGCACAUCUUGACGGUACCUAAUCAGAAAGCCACGGCUAACUACGUG